UACGUAGGGGGCAAGCGUUGUUCGGAUUUAUUGGGCGUAAAGAGCUCGUAGGCGGUUCGUUAAGUCGGGUGUGAAACCUCCAGGCUCAACCUGGAGACGCCACCCGAUACUGCUGUGACUAGAGUCCGGUAGGGGAGCGUGGAAUUCCUGGUGUAGCGGUGAAAUGCGCAGAUAUCAGGAGGAACACCAGCGGCGAAGGCGGCGCUCUGGGCCGGAACUGACGCUGAGGAGCGAAAGCGUGGGGAGCAAACAGG
This 254-nucleotide ribosomal RNA is filed under the name uncultured bacterium. Its description in RNAcentral is "partial 16S ribosomal RNA". It matches the Rfam family "Bacterial small subunit ribosomal RNA", at positions 524 to 776 of the family's 1533-position model. The record is from RNAcentral.